UCGGCUGGAGGAAGAAACAAAAACCCAUGAAGAAAGAAAGCCCAUAUUACUGCAAACCUCCUGUACACCCAAUUCUACAGUCUCAGCUGGUCCUUUUCUGCAUUACAGAGCUCAGAGGCUCAGAAGUGCAAAACAGCACUGCCAUACCAGCAUGUACGCAAGUAGCAGCCUCCCAGCCCGUUUGUGGAAGCCAUGACACAUCCACAUCUCUAACAACUGAAGGGGUUUCAGCUCUUGGUGCACUGAUGCAUAAGAGGUACCUGUUAGACAGAGGCGUCCUCUCCACACAUCUGAUCUGGAUGGUGCUGAGCUCUUGUACACUGCCUUGACGGCUGCCAGCAAUGGUGGUGUUUGGGAUGCGGGACCUCAGUGUCUAAAAUGAAGCCAACGACUCUGAAGCUUUGCACCUACAUCUGGAUUAAACAUUCGAAUCUUCAAAAUGAGAUGCUUGGGGAUCCUCCCGUGCAGUCGCUUCGGCAAGAACUGUACUCAUGGUAGAGGAAACACUCAGCAGCUCUCUACACCAAAGGUUUGACUCCACAGUUUUAAAUAUGUAAGGACUAUAAAUGAUGUCUCCUGAACUGACUGCAGAAAAGUGCAGAUGUUAGCAUUAUGGAGUGUAUGAAAACCACUCUGAAGGCCACGUUUGCCCCUAGACUAGACUCAUGUCAUGGUAUCUUUCACUUUACAUGAGGCUGUCAUCCAGGCUCUCUCUCUCUCACUUACAUUCAGAGGGUAUAAUGUUUUAAAAUAUGAUAAAACGGCUUCUCUUCACAGCUAAUCACUUUCACAUAAAGGCUUAUUAAUUAGAAGAAAUACUGAAAACAUUCAGAACUACACUGAUGUUGGAAUUUACAGGAAAACACACUUUUUUUUUCUUACCGUAGUUUUUUCCAGGCAGUGAAGCAGGUGGUGGUGCUGUGUUUCAAAGGAAGAGCCAGAUUUGCUAACAAAGGCCUGUUCUUCUUCACUGGAGGACUGUUAAUACAAAAAAAUCUGUAUUAUUCUCAUUUAUGAACAAGAGGGCUCCUAUCCAAAUAUUUGAUCAGAACUAAUCUGGAUUAUAUACUGCAGCAUAACGUCUCAUCUACAUGGGAUAACACAAAUGAUCUUGGAUGCAAUUACUCUUUUGCUUUUGAUUUAAAUAUAUAUAUAUA
Molecule: non-coding RNA, 1157 nt
Organism: Anas platyrhynchos (mallard)
Lineage: Eukaryota; Metazoa; Chordata; Aves; Anseriformes; Anatidae
Source: RefSeq, a predicted model, not a curated record